Molecule: ribosomal RNA, 157 nt
Filed under: Primula marginata
Lineage: Eukaryota; Viridiplantae; Streptophyta; Magnoliopsida; Ericales; Primulaceae
Description: 5.8S ribosomal RNA
Rfam family: 5.8S ribosomal RNA
About the family: 5.8S ribosomal RNA (5.8S rRNA) is a component of the large subunit of the eukaryotic ribosome. It is transcribed by RNA polymerase I as part of the 45S precursor that also contains 18S and 28S rRNA.
Source: RNAcentral
ACUCUCGGCAAUGGAUAUCUAGGCUCUCGCAUCGAUGAAGAACGUAGCAAAAUGCGAUACUUGGUGUGAAUUGCAGAAUCCCGUGAACCAUCGAGUUUUUGAACGCAAGUUGCGCCCGAAACCAUUAGGCCGAGGGCACGUCUGCCUGGGUGUCUUA